This 497-nucleotide ribosomal RNA is filed under the name uncultured bacterium. Its description in RNAcentral is "partial 16S ribosomal RNA". It matches the Rfam family "Bacterial small subunit ribosomal RNA", at positions 28 to 507 of the family's 1533-position model. The record is from RNAcentral.
GAUGAACGCUGGCGGCGUGCCUAAUACAUGCAAGUCGAGCGAACAGAUGAGGAGCUUGCUCGUCUGACGUUAGCGGCGGACGGGUGAGUAACACGUGGAUAACCUACCUAGAAGACUGGGAUAACUUCGGGAAACCGGAGCUAAUACCGGAUAAUAUAUUGAACCGCAUGGUUCAAUAGUGAAAGACGGUUUUGCUGUCACUUAUAGAUGGAUCCGCGCCGCAUUAGCUAGUUGGUAAGGUAACGGCUUACCAAGGCAACGAUGCGUAGCCGACCUGAGAGGAUGACCGGCCACACUGGAACUGAGACACGGUCCAGACUCCUACGGGAGGCAGCAGUAGGGAAUCUUGCGCAAUGGGCGAAAGCCUGACGGAGCCACGCCGCGUGAGUGAUGAAGGUCUUCGGAUCGUAAAACUCUGUUAUUAGGGAAGAACAAAUGUGUAAGUAACUCUGCACGUCUUGACGUUACCUAAACAGAAAGCCACGGCUAACUACGUG